Molecule: antisense RNA, 187 nt
Filed under: Spirogyra sp. 'Postawele'
Lineage: Eukaryota; Viridiplantae; Streptophyta; Zygnematophyceae; Spirogyrales; Spirogyraceae
Description: Antisense RNA which regulates isiA expression
Rfam family: Antisense RNA which regulates isiA expression
Source: Rfam by way of RNAcentral
AAUAACCAAACACAAUACUAGGGUUUAGAGUAAGAUUUACAAUUUUUCUUACAUCUCCACCACCAGGAGCCCAAGUAUCAUAUACACCACCAAACCAUAAAGCUUUGAACACUAAUAAAAAUGCACCAGCACCCAAAAGGAUUAAAUGAAUACCUAAAAUGGUAGUCAUUUUGUUUUUAUCCUUCCA